Molecule: ribosomal RNA, 253 nt
Filed under: uncultured bacterium
Lineage: Bacteria
Description: partial 16S ribosomal RNA
Rfam family: Bacterial small subunit ribosomal RNA
Source: RNAcentral
UACGUAGGGGGCAAGCGUUGUCCGGAAUCAUUGGGCGUAAAGAGCGUGUAGGCGGCUUGGUAAGUCCGCUGUGAAAGUCCAGGGCUCAACCCUGGAAAGCCGGUGGAAACUGUCAGGCUUGAGUCCGGAAGAGGCGAGUGGAAUUCCUGGUGUAGCGGUGAAAUGCGCAGAUAUCAGGAGGAACACCAAUGGCGAAGGCAGCUCGCUGGGACGGUACUGACGCUGAGACGCGAAAGCGUGGGGAGCAAACAGG